AAAGAGUGAAGCGAAGCUCAUUCGUAAUACAUUAGCAUCUCAAUUUCGAACUUCGGAUUGACUCAGCGUGAUAGACUAUUCGCUGAGGAUCAGGUUUUGUUACCUGGCCGAAUUAAGAUAACUAGAAGCUUCUAAUCCCCCCACUAGUCAAAACUAUAAGAUUAGACCUCAGAUCAGGCAGGAUUACCCGCUGAACUUAA
RNAcentral lists this unclassified non-coding RNA (200 nucleotides) under soil metagenome. RNAcentral's name for it is "partial contains internal transcribed spacer 2 and large subunit ribosomal RNA". The record is from RNAcentral.